Molecule: ribosomal RNA, 677 nt
Filed under: uncultured bacterium
Lineage: Bacteria
Description: bacterial SSU rRNA
Rfam family: Bacterial small subunit ribosomal RNA
Source: RNAcentral
CACCAGUGGCGANGGCGACUUUCUGGACGAAAACUGACGCUGAGGCGCGAAAGCCAGGGGAGCGAACGGGAUUAGAUACCCCGGUAGUCCUGGCCGUAAACGAUGGGUACUAGGUGUAGGAGGUAUCGACCCNUUCUGUGCCGGAGUUAACGCAAUAAGUACCCCGCCUGGGGAGUACGACCGCAAGGUUGAAACUCAAAGGAAUUGACGGGGGCCCGCACAAGCGGUGGAGUAUGUGGUUUAAUUCGACGCAACGCGAAGAACCUUACCAGGUCUUGACAUUGAUGGACAGAACCAGAGAUGGUUCCUCUUCUUCGGAAGCCAGAAAACAGGUGGUGCACGGUUGUCGUCAGCUCGUGUCGUGAGAUGUUGGGUUANNNNNNNNCAACGAGCGCAACCCCUAUCUUAUGUUGCCAGCACUUUGGGUGGGGACUCAUGAGAGACUGCCGCAGACAAUGCGGAGGAAGGCGGGGAUGACGUCAAAUCAUCAUGCCCCUUAUGACCUGGGCUACACACGUACUACAAUGGGAGUUAAUAGACGGAAGCGAGAUCGCGAGAUGGAGCAAACCCGAGAAACACUCUCUCAGUUCGGAUCGUAGGCUGCAACUCGCCUACGUGAAGUCGGAAUCGCUAGUAAUCGCAGGUCAGCAUACUGCGGUGAAUACGUUCCCGGGCCU